This 995-nucleotide ribosomal RNA is filed under the name uncultured organism. RNAcentral's name for it is "bacterial SSU rRNA". It matches the Rfam family "Bacterial small subunit ribosomal RNA", at positions 94 to 1091 of the family's 1533-position model. The record is from RNAcentral.
ACCGGCAAAUGGGUGAGUAAUACAUAUGCAACCUGCCCGUAGCUGGAGAAUAGCUUCCGGAAACGGAAAUUAAUACUCCAUAAUAUUCUAGUAUCGCAUGUUAUUAGAAUUAAAGCUUCGGUGGCUACGGAUGGGCAUAUGUCCCAUUAGCUUGUUGGUGAGGUAACUGCUCACCAAGGCUACGAUGGGUAGGGGGUCUGAGAGGAUGAUCCCCCACACUGGUACUGAGACACGGACCAGACUCCUACGGGAGGCAGCAGUGUGGAAUAUUGGUCAAUGGGCGAAAGCCUGAACCAGCCAUGCCGCGUGCAGGAUGACAGUCCUACGGAUUGUAAACUGCUUUUCUGCAAGAAGAAAUGUUCCGACGUGUCGGGAUUUGACGGUAUUGCAGGAAUAAGCAUCGGCUAACUCCGUGCCAGCAGCCGCGGUAAUACGGAGGAUGCAAGCGUUAUCCGGAUUCAUUGGGUUUAAAGGGUGCGUAGGCGGAUUAGAUAGUCAAAGGUGAAAGCCUGCAGCUUAACUGUAGAAGUGCCUUUGAUACUGCUAAUCUUGAGUACAGUUGAGGCGAGUGGAAUGUGUAGUGUAGCGGUGAAAUGCAUAGAUACUACACAGAACACCAAUUGCGAAGGCAGCUCGCUAAGCUGUUACUGACGCUCAGGCACGAAAGCGUGGGGAGCGAACAGGAUUAGAUACCCUGGUAGUCCACGCUGUAAACUAUGAUCACUAGCUGUUGGCGAUAAAUUGUCAGUGGCUCAGCGAAAGCGUUAAGUGAUCCACCUGGGGAGUACGAUCGCAAGGUUGAAACUCAAAGGAAUUGACGGGGGCCCGCACAAGCGGUGGAACAUGUGGUUUAAUUCGAUGAUACGCGAGGAACCUUACCUGGGCUUAAAUGUAGAGCGACGUCUCGAGAAAUCGGGAUUCCCUUCGGGGCGAACUACAAGGUGCUGCAUGGUUGUCGUCAGCUCGUGCCGUGAGGUAUCGGGUUAAGUCCCAUA